RNAcentral lists this ribosomal RNA (253 nucleotides) under uncultured bacterium. Its description in RNAcentral is "partial 16S ribosomal RNA". It matches the Rfam family "Bacterial small subunit ribosomal RNA", at positions 524 to 776 of the family's 1533-position model. The record is from RNAcentral.
GACAGAGGGUGCAAACGUUGUUCGGAAUUACUGGGCGUAAAGCGCGCGUAGGCGGCAGCGUGUGUCGGGCGUGAAAUCCCACGGCUCAACCGUGGAAGUGCACUCGAAACUGCGCAGCUAGAGUCUCGGAGAGGAAGGCGGAAUGCUUGGUGUAGAGGUGAAAUUCGUAGAUAUCAAGCGGAACACCGGUGGCGAAGGCGGCCUUCUGGACGAUGACUGACGCUGAAGUGCGAAAGCGUGGGGAGCAAGCAGG